ACUUCCGACCUGUCUUUGAGUUCACCUGGCAUCCUGAUGCGCUCCAGAUCUUGCUUGUCGGAUUUUAUUUCGCCGGUUUGCUUCUCCGCCUGUGUAUCUAGCCUGGAAAAGUGCAUGUUAUCUUUUUGCAAACUUCUUUAGCCUUCUUUUCGGCAGCCACUUCCCUCUGCUCCUUCUGUAGCUUGGACUCAUCACUGGUCAAAUUCACCUGGCCUCUUGGAGAAAUCAUGAUUGUUACUAUGAUUUUUCUUAUUUAUCUACCUAGUGGAGUGCUAAGAGUGCAGGCAGUGAGGUUGUGCUAUCUGGUUUCAAGUGCUGCCUCUCACUUCUAACAGUGUUACCUGGGCAUGAUACUUAACCUCUCUGUGCCCACUUCAAGUGUGAAACAUAAUACUAGUACCUAGAAAAUAGGACGAUUGUAUUACUUGAGAUAAUACGUGGAAAGCACUGGCAUAUUGAAAGCAUUCGAUGAGUGUUAACCAUUACUUUUUGCACUACUAUGCACUCUUAUUCCCUGUUGGAACAUACCUGUGCUUAAGGACAACUGGAACCAGAUUUCCUGCUACCCUUUAUGUCCCCCCUACUUUUUUUUAUGUUUAUGGAUACUCGGCUUUUAAUUAAUUGAUGAUGCCUGGCACCCUCUUCGGAACUGUGAGCCCCUCCAGACAAAGUUGGAAUCUUAUAUAGAAAACAACUUUAACCCUGCUGGAAAUAACCUGCUUAGUUAUUGUGCUAGUUAAUGGGGGAAAGUUGAAUAAAACCCAGGCCCUACCCUCAAGAACGUGGAGAUACUCAAUAAAUGAUAGUGGGAGGAAGGAAGUCAACCCAGGAAAAAGCAGAAGGGACCAGCUGAGCUGAAGAUUUAUCUUUGCCCAAAAAUUUCGCAGAAUGACAGAACUGAAAGGAACUUUUAGAGGCAAUCACUUAGUCAACCUCUUGCUGUUACAGAAAACUUGUCACAGAUUGAGUAUUCCAGAUUGGAGAUGAGAAGAUUUUUGUUAGGAAUGGAGUGGAAGCAGGAUUGUUCAGAGGAAGUAGUUGAACUGCUAUUCAGGUCCAGCAAAUCCUCAGCCAUCCUGGGAGGGAGCUUUAGAGUAAGUAUUGCCCAUCAAGAGUAUCGUUGUCAGGCUAAAAUAGCCAGCCCCUUAUGCUAGAUGCUGUCUGCCCUAGAAAGGGUGUAAUCUCAAGCAAGGUGGCCUUCUGCAGCAGAAGCAGACCCUGAAGAAAAUAGCUGGGGGCUGCCUGCUAACCGCAUUCCCUGCACCUGGGCAGCAAGUGCUUCCUUGAAAGGGAAUCUGGGCAGCGUAUCUUUGCAUCUUCCACAAAAUGCAACACAAAUUGGCUUAAACAAUAAGGGCAUAUCUUGACUUCUAUAACUGGAGUAUUAUGACAGGCAUCAGGGUUGGUUGCCUCAGCAACUCGACGAUAUCAUCCAGGACCCAUAUUUGUUUCUGUCUUGCUCUGCCUUCAGUAGCAUCUGCUUCCACUUACGGCCAGCUUUCCUUGAGAUGGCAAAAUCGCUCUAGCAGCUUGUGUUCAUAUCUACACACUGUACACACCCUGAGGGGAUGGACACACGUUCAGUGCAGGCAUACCUCAUUGUAUUGUGCACCACUUUCUUGUGCUGCUCAGAUAUUGCAUUUUUAACAAAUUGAAGGUUUAUAGCAAUUUUGUGUAGAGUAAGUCUGUCAGUGCCAUUUUUCUAACAGCAUAUCUCUGUCACGUUUUGAUAAUUCUUGCAGUAUUUCAAACUUUUCAUUAUUAUUAUGUCUGUUACAGUGAUCUGUGAUCAGUGAUCUUUAGUGUUACUAUUGUAAUUGUUUUGGGUCACCAUCAACCAUGCCAUUAAGACAGCAAAUUUAAUUGAUAAAUAUUGUGUAUAUUUUAUUUCAUCAAUGGGACUUUCCCCCAUCUCUGUCCCUCUCCUAGGGCCUCCCUAUUCUGAAACAAAACAAUAUUGAAAUUAGACAAAUUAAUAAUCCUACAAUGGCCUCUAAGUGUUGAAGUGAAGAGUCACAUGUCUCUCACUUUAAACCAAAAGCUAGAAAUGGUAAAGCUUAGUGAGGAAGACAUAUAGAUAGCCAAGAUGGGCCAAAAAUUAGGCCUCUUGUGCCAUAUAGUUAGUCAAGUUGUAAAUGUGAAGGAAAUUAAAAGUGCUACUUAAGUGAACACACGAAUGAUAAGAAAGCAAAACAGCUUUAUUGAUGAUAUAGAGAAAGUUCUAUUGAUCUGGAUAGAAGAUCAAACCAGCCACAACAUUCCCUUAAGCCAAAGCAUAAUCCAGAGCAAGGCCCUAACUCUCUUCAAUUCUGUGAAGGCUAAGAGAGGUGAAGAAGCUUCAGAAGAAAAGUUGGAAGCCAGCAGAAGUUAAUUCAUGAGGUUUAAGGAAAGAAGCCUUCUCUAUAACAUAAAAGUGCAAGGUCAAGCAGCAAGUACUGAUGAAGAAGCUGUAGCAAGUUAUCCAGAAGAUCCAGCUAAGAUUAUUGAUGAAGGUGGCCACAUUAAACAACAACAGAUUUUCAAUAAAACAGCCUCCUAUUUUAAGAAGAUGCCAUUUAGGACUUUCAUAGCUAAAGAGGAGAAGUCAGUGUCUGGCUUCAAAGCUCCAAAGGACCUGCUGAUUCUCGUUAGGGUCUAAUGCAACUGGUAACUUUAACUUGAAGCCAGUGCUUAUUUGCCAUUCUGAAAAUCCUAGGGUCCUUAAGAAUUACGUUAAAUCUACUCUGCCUGUGCUUUAUAAGUGGAACAAAAAAGCCUGGAUGAUAGCACAUCUGUUUACAGCAUGAUUUACUGAAUAUCUUAAGCCCACUGGUGAGAUCUGCUGCUUUAAAAAAUAAAAUUCCGGGCGGGCGCGGUGGCUCACGCCUGUAAUCCCAGCACUUUGGGAGGCCAAGGCGGGUGGAUCACGAGGUCAGGAGAUCGAGACCAUCCUGGCUAACACGGUGAAACCCGUCUCUACUAAAAAUACAAAAAAAAUUAGCCAGGUGUGGUAGCGGGCACCUGUGGUCCCAGCUACUCGGGAGGCUGAGUCAGGAGAAUGGUGUGAAUCCGGGAGGCGGAGCUGGCAGUGAGCCGAGACUGCGCCACUGCACUCCAGCCUGGGUGACAGAGCGAAACUCGGUCUCAAAAAAAAAAAAAAAAAUUCCUUCAAAAUAUGGCAGCUCAUUGACAAUGCAUCUGUUAUCCAAAAGCUCUGAUGGAGGUAUACAAGGAGAUGAAUGUUAUUUUCAUGCCUGCUAACACAGCUUCCAUUCUGCAGCCCAUGGAUCAAGGAGCAAUUUCAAAUCUCAAGUCUCAUUAUUUAAGAAAUACAUUUCAGCCAGGUAUGGUGGUUCAUGCCUGUAAUCCCAGCACUUUGGGAGACCGAGGUGGGCAGAUCACCUGAGGUCAGGAAUUCAAGACCAGCCUGGCCAACAUGGUGAAACCCCAUCUCUACUAAAAAUACAAAAAUUAGCUGGGCAUGGUGGCGCAUGCCUGUAAUCCCAGCUACUCGGGAGGCUGAGGCAGAAGAAUUGCUUGAACCCAGGAGGUGCAGGUUGCAGUGAGCCGAGAUCGUGCCAUUGCACUCCAGCCUGGGCAACACAGCGAGACUCUGUCAAAAAAAAAAAGAAGUAGAAAUACAUGUCAUAAGCUAUAGCUGUCAAUAGAUAGUGAUUCCUCUGAUGGAUCUGGGCAAAGUAAAUUGAAAACUUUCUGGAAAGGAUUUACCAUUCUAGAUGCCAUUAAGAACAUUUGUGACUAAUGAGAAUAUUUGACAAAUUUGAAGAGUAUUCUGAACAAACAACAUAGCAACUAGAAAUACCUUACCAUAUGAGAAAUGAUAGUCCCUGAGAAAGCCCCUAAGAGGAACAGCUUAGGGCAGACUUGUUAGUAUCUUUAAAUAUUUGAUGAAAGACCAUUCUAUUAAAGAUAAAUUUAAUGUAUAAUGCUUGAGUAGGUAAAAAUAUCAACAUUAAUAAGAGUUUGGAAGUUUGGAAGAAGUUGAUUCCAACCCACAUGGAUAACUUGAGGGGUUCAAGACUUCAGUGUAGGAAGAAAGUGCAAAUGUGGUAGAAAUAGGAAGAGAACUAGAAUUAAAAGUGGAGCCUUAAGAUGGGACUGAAUUGUUGCAAUCUCAUGAUAAAAUGUGAGGGAAUGAGGAGUUGCUUCUUAUGAAUGAGCAACGAAAGUGGUUUCUUGAGAUGAAAUCUACUUCUGGUGAAGAUGUGAACACUGUUGAAAUGACAACAAAUGAUUUGGAAUAUUACAUAAACUUAGUUGACAAGGCAGCGGCAGGGUUCGGGAGGAUUGACUCCAAUUUUGAAAGAAAUUCUCCUGUGGAUAAAAUGCUACCAAACAGCAUUGCCUGAUACAGAGGAGUGUUUCAUGAAAGGAAGAAUCCAUUGAUGUGGCAAACUUUAUUGUUGUCUUAAGAAAUUGCUCCCUUUUCUCAUCUGUCGCCAAGGUGCUCUGUCAUGAAGAAAUUAAAGCUGCAUUGGGGUGAGGCCCACUUCACUCAGUGACUAACACCGCGCCUGGCAGAGACAGCCCUGCAUUACCCACACCACGGCCUCUGUCUUCAUCUCCAAGCUCCACUCCAUCUACUUGACCCUCACCCUGCAUGCUGAUGAGGUGACCAUCACAGAGAAGAUCAAUGCCCUCAUUAAAGCACCUGCUGUAACUGUUGAACCUUUUUGGCCUGGCUUGUUUGCAAAGGCCCUGGCCAGUGUCAACAUCAGAAGCCUCAUCCCCCAUGUAGGGGCGGCAUACCUGCUCCACAAUGGCUGAAUCCCCAGGCUUAAAAUCAAGGCACUUUGUUAGGGAAACCUGGAAAGAAAUAACAACUGCUGGAACAUUUGAGUUAUAUCAACCUGUUUUGCCUUGAACUCAACAAUGCAUCAUAUAUUAGGUGUAUUCUAUUUGCUACUCAAAGCAGAUGGAAACGUAAUAUUAGAGAAAAGGCAACUCAAUUUGAUUCCUCUUAAAGGUACAUAACACUAAUAAUGGCUAACAAUAUGAAUAUUUUUAUUGAGUGCUUUCCAUAAGCCAGACAAAUUCUAAAUAUGUAUUCUCACAAAAGGGAGAAGACCAUGCUUGGUAAUAAAGAAAGAUAUAUCUAAGAACAAAUACUUUAGUAAUUUUUUAAAAACUGACAAGUGUUGGCAAGGUUAUGGAGACAUUGGAAACCUCAUGCAUUGCUAGUGUGAAUGUCAAAUGGCAUAGCCACUUUAGAAAGCAGUUUGGGGCUGGGCAUGGUGCCUCAUGCCUAUAAUCCCAGCACUUGGGGAGGCUGAGGUGGGCGGAUUACUUGAGGCCAGGAGUUCAAGACCAGCCUAGCUAACAUGAUCAAACCCUGUCUCUACUAAAAAUACAAAAAAAAAAAAUACAAAAAUUAGCCAGGCAUGGAGGCAUGCACCUAUAAUCCCAGGUACUUGGGAGGCUGAUGCAGGAAAAUCACGUGAACCUGAGAGACGGAGCUUGCAGUGACCCAAGAUCGCACCACCACACUCCAGCCUGGACAACAGAGCGAGACUCCAUCUCAAAAAAAAAAAAAAAAAAAAAAAUGAAGAAAGCAAGAAAGCAGUUUGGUAAUUCCUCAGUAAGUUAAGCAGAGUUACCAUAUGACCUAGCAAUUCGACUCCUAGAUAUAUACUCAAGAGAAUUUAUGCAAAAAUUUGUAUAUGAAAUGAAUAGUUCAUGAAAAAUUUCAUAUACAUAUUCAUAUACUAGUAGCCAAAAAGUAGAAAUAACCCAGAUAUCUAUCAACUUGUGAAUGAAUAAACAAAAUACAGUUUAUUUUUGCAAUGAAAUAUUCGGCCAUAAAAAGAAACGAAGUAUUGAUACAUGCUACAACAUGGAUGAAACUUGAAAACAUUAUUCUAAGAGAAAGAAGCCAGACACCAAAGGCCACAUGUCAUGUGAUUCCCUGUAUUUGAAAAAUCUAGAAAAGGCAAACCCAUAGAAACAGGUUAGUGUGUCUAUUAGAGUAGAUUGGUGGUUGCCAAGAAUAGAGAGAAAGAGGAAUGGUAAGGGACUGUUAAUGGAUAAAGGAUUUCUUUUUGAAGUCAUUAAAAUGUUCUGAAAUUAGAGAGUGGUGAUGGUCGCACGACCUUGUGAAUAUACUAAAAACCACUCAGUUUUAUACUUUAAAAGAGUGAAUUGUUUGCCACCAGCCUGGGCAACAUGGCAAAACCCUGUCUCUACAAAAAAAAUACACAAUUUAGCCAGAUGUGGUGGCACACACCUGUAGUCCCAGCUGCUCAGGAGGCUGAGGUGGGAGGAUCACUUGAGCCGAGAAGGUUGAGGCUGCAGUGAGCCGUGUGCAUCACUGUACUCGAGCCUAGAAGACCCUGUCUCAAAAAUAAAAUAAAAGGGUGAAUUGUAUGGUAUAUGAGUUAUACCUCAAUAAAAAAUUAAUUAUCCCUUUUAAGAAAAAAAAAAAAACAACACACCAGGUGCGUUGGCUCAUGCCUGUAAUCCCAGCAUUUUGGGAGGCCAAGGUGGGCAGAUCACUUGAGGUCAGGGGUUUGAGACCAGCCUGGCCAACAUGGUAAAAUCCCGCCUCUACUAAAAAUACAAAAAUUAGCCAGGCAUGGUGGUGCAUGCCUGUAAUCCCAGCUACUCAGGAGGCUGAGGCAUGAGAAUUGCUUGAACCUGGGAAGCAGUGGUUGCAGUGAGCCAAGAUCAUGCCACUGCACUCCAGCCUGGGCAACAGAGCGAGACUCUGUCUCAAAAACAAACAAACAAACAAAAAAACACUUUCCUGGAAGUUUGAAAGGGGGGAAAAACCCUGUCUUUAUAGUUUUAAAAGAGAGAGCAAACAUGAGUUAAGGAAACACGAAUAUGGCCCAAUUGAUGAGAGGUACAGAAUACAGGGAAUGGAUGCUCGGCGAAGGAUAUGAACAGACACUUCUCAAAGGAAGACAUUUAUGCAGCCAAAAGACACAUGAAAAAAUGUUCAUUAUCACUGGCCAUCAGAGAAAUGGAAAUCAAAACCACAGUGAGAUACCAUCUCACACCAGUUAGAAUGGUGAUCAUUAAGAAGUCAGGAAACAACAGGUGCUGGAGAGGAUUUGGAGAAAUAGGAACACUUUUACACUGUUAGUGGGACUGUAAACUAGUUCAACCAUUGUGGAAGUCAGUGUGGCGAUUCCUCAGGGAUCUAGAUCUAGAAAUACCAUUUGACCCAGCCAUCCCAUUACUGGGUAUAUAACCAAAGGAUUAUAAAACAUGCUGCUAUAAAGACACAUGCACACGUAUGUUUAUUGAGGCACUAUUCACAUUAGCAAAGACUUGGAACCAACCCAAAUGUCCAACAAUGAUAGACUGGAUUAAGAAAAUGUGGCACAUAUACACCAUGGAAUACUAUGCAGCCAUAAAAAAUUAUGAGUUCAUGUCCUUUGUAGGGACAUGGAUGAAGCUGGAAACCAUCAUUCUCAGCAAACUAUCGCAAGGACAAAAAACCAAACACCGCAUGUUCUCACUCAUAGGUGGGAAUUGAACAAUGAGAACACAUGGACACAGGAAGGGGAACAUGACACACUGGGGCCUGUUGUGGGGUGGGGGAGCGGGGAGGGAUCGCAUUAGGAGAUCUACCUAAUGUUAAAUGACGAGUUAAUGGGUGCAGCACACCAGCAUGGCACAUGUAUACAUAUGUAACAAACCUGCACGUAGUGCACAUGUACCCUAAAACUUAAAGUAUAAUAAAAAAUUUUUUAAAAAAAGA
Molecule: long non-coding RNA, 7705 nt
Organism: Homo sapiens (human)
Lineage: Eukaryota; Metazoa; Chordata; Mammalia; Primates; Hominidae
Exons: 2
Source: RefSeq, a predicted model, not a curated record